RNAcentral lists this ribosomal RNA (254 nucleotides) under uncultured bacterium. RNAcentral's name for it is "partial 16S ribosomal RNA". It matches the Rfam family "Bacterial small subunit ribosomal RNA", at positions 524 to 776 of the family's 1533-position model. The record is from RNAcentral.
UACGGAGGGUGCGAGCGUUGUCCGGAAUCACUGGGCGUAAAGGGCGCGUAGGUGGCCUGUGGAAGUCUGCGGUGAAAGCCCGGCGCUCAACGCCGGGUCGGCCGUGGAUACUCUCGGGCUCGAGCUUACUAGAGGCAGAUGGAAUUCCGGGUGUAGCGGUGGAAUGCGUAGAGAUCCGGAAGAACACCGGUGGCGAAGGCGGUCUGCUGGGGUAAUGCUGACACUGAGGAGCGAAAGCAUGGGGAGCGAACAGG